This 71-nucleotide transfer RNA is filed under the name bacterium. RNAcentral describes it as "tRNA-Trp". It matches the Rfam family "tRNA". From Rfam's summary of the family: Transfer RNA (tRNA) molecules are approximately 80 nucleotides in length. Their secondary structure includes four short double-helical elements and three loops (D, anti-codon, and T loops). Further hydrogen bonds mediate the characteristic L-shaped molecular structure. tRNAs have two regions of fundamental functional importance: the anti-codon, which is responsible for specific mRNA codon recognition, and the 3' end, to which the tRNAs corresponding amino acid is attached (by aminoacyl-tRNA synthetases). tRNAs cope with the degeneracy of the genetic code in two manners: having more than one tRNA (with a specific anti-codon) for a particular amino acid; and 'wobble' base-pairing, i.e. permitting non-standard base-pairing at the 3rd anti-codon position. The record is from RNAcentral.
GGGAGCUUAGGUAAGUGGUAUACCGGUUGUCUCCAAAACAACGAUCGGAGGUCCGAUUCCUCCAGCUCCCG